This 484-nucleotide ribosomal RNA is filed under the name uncultured bacterium. Its description in RNAcentral is "partial 16S ribosomal RNA". It matches the Rfam family "Bacterial small subunit ribosomal RNA", at positions 30 to 507 of the family's 1533-position model. The record is from RNAcentral.
AUUGAACGCUGGCGGAAUGCUUUACACAUGCAAGUCGAACGGCAGCACGGGGGCAGCCCUGGUGGCGAGUGGCGAACGGGUGAGUAAUACAUCGGAACGUGCCCGGUCGUGGGGGAUAACGUAGCGAGAGUUACGCUAAUACCGCAUACGAUCUGAGGAUGAAAGCGGGGGACCUUCGGGCCUCGCGCGAUCGGAGCGGCCGAUGUCAGAUUAGGUAGUUGGUGGGGUAAAGGCCUACCAAGCCGACGAUCUGUAGCUGGUCUGAGAGGACGACCAGCCACACUGGGACUGAGACACGGCCCAGACUCCUACGGGAGGCAGCAGUGGGGAAUUUUGGACAAUGGGCGCAAGCCUGAUCCAGCCAUUCCGCGUGCAGGACGAAGGCCUUCGGGUUGUAAACUGCUUUUGUACGGAACGAAAAGGCUCUGGCUAAUACCUGGGGCUCAUGACGGUACCGUAAGAAUAAGCACCGGCUAACUACGUG